UACAGAGGGGGCAAGCGUUAUUCGGAAUUAUUGGGCGUAAAGGGCGCGUAGGCGGCUUGGCAAGUGGAAGGUGAAAUCCCUCGGCUUAACCGAGGAACUGCCCUCCAAACUGCUUCGCUUGAGACCGGGAGAGGUGAGUGGAAUUCCCAGUGUAGCGGUGAAAUGCGUAGAUAUUGGGAGGAACACCAGUGACGAAGGCGGCUCACUGGACCGGUACUGACGCUGAUGCGCGAAAGCGUGGGGAGCAAACGGG
This 253-nucleotide ribosomal RNA is filed under the name uncultured bacterium. RNAcentral describes it as "partial 16S ribosomal RNA". It matches the Rfam family "Bacterial small subunit ribosomal RNA", at positions 524 to 776 of the family's 1533-position model. The record is from RNAcentral.